GAUGAACGCUGGCGGCGUGCCUAAUACAUGCAAGUCGAGUGAACAGACGAGGAGCUUGCUCCUCUGACGUUAGCGGCGGACGGGUGAGUAACACGUGGAUAACCUACCUAUAAGACUGGGAUAACUUCGGGAAACCGGAGCUAAUACCGGAUAAUAUAUUGAACCGCAUGGUUCAAUAGUGAAAGACGGUUUUGCUGUCACUUAUAGAUGGAUCCGCGCCGCAUUAGCUAGUUGGUAAGGUAACGGCUUACCAAGGCAACGAUGCGUAGCCGACCUGAGAGGGUGAUCGGCCACACUGGAACUGAGACACGGUCCAGACUCCUACGGGAGGCAGCAGUAGGGAAUCUUCCGCAAUGGGCGAAAGCCUGACGGAGCAACGCCGCGUGAGUGAUGAAGGUCUUCGGACCGUAAAACUCUGUUAUUAGGGAAGAACAAAUGUGUAAGUAACUAUGCACGUCUUGACGGUACCUAAUCAGAAAGCCACGGCUAACUACGUG
This 497-nucleotide ribosomal RNA is filed under the name uncultured bacterium. RNAcentral's name for it is "partial 16S ribosomal RNA". It matches the Rfam family "Bacterial small subunit ribosomal RNA", at positions 28 to 507 of the family's 1533-position model. The record is from RNAcentral.